This 492-nucleotide ribosomal RNA is filed under the name uncultured bacterium. RNAcentral describes it as "partial 16S ribosomal RNA". It matches the Rfam family "Bacterial small subunit ribosomal RNA", at positions 29 to 507 of the family's 1533-position model. The record is from RNAcentral.
AGUGAACGCUGGCGGUAGGCCUAACACAUGCAAGUCGAACGGCAGCACAGUAAGAGCUUGCUCUUACGGGUGGCGAGUGGCGGACGGGUGAGGAAUACAUCGGAAUCUACUUUUUCGUGGGGGAUAACGUAGGGAAACUUACGCUAAUACCGCAUACGACCUACGGGUGAAAGCAGGGGAUCUUCGGACCUUGCGCGAUUGAAUGAGCCGAUGUCGGAUUAGCUAGUUGGCGGGGUAAAGGCCCACCAAGGCGACGAUCCGUAGCUGGUCUGAGAGGAUGAUCAGCCACACUGGAACUGAGACACGGUCCAGACUCCUACGGGAGGCAGCAGUGGGGAAUAUUGGACAAUGGGCGCAAGCCUGAUCCAGACAUACCGCGUGGGUGAAGAAGGACUUCGGGUUGUAAAGCCCUUUUGUUGGGAAAGAAAAGCAGCAGGUUAAUACCCCGCUGUUCUGACGGUACCCAAAGAAUAAGCACCGGCUAACUUCGUG